RNAcentral lists this long non-coding RNA (230 nucleotides) under Zea mays. RNAcentral's name for it is "drought responsive lncRNA". The record is from RNAcentral. Lineage: Eukaryota; Viridiplantae; Streptophyta; Magnoliopsida; Poales; Poaceae.
UGUGUAGUGUGUGUGAGAAGGUGUGGUAGUGCAGCCUCUAGGGCUAUAAAUAUGGGUCUCCAACCCUUAGAUCGGUAUGGCAUUGUGUAGUGUUUGAGGAAAUAAACAGAAAAUUGCCCCAACUCAUAGUGUCAUCCUCUUGAUGAGAGUUAGUCCCUCUACUUACAAUUGGUAUCAGAGCCAAACUAUCCUGCAGCCUAAACAUCUCGUGCUCAUCUCCUCCCCUUUCG